CCUACGGGAGGCAGCAGUGGGGAAUCUUGCGCAAUGGGCGAAAGCCUGACGCAGCCAUGCCGCGUGUAUGAUGAAGGUCUUAGGAUUGUAAAAUACUUUCACCGGUGAAGAUAAUGACUGUAGCCGGAGAAGAAGCCCCGGCUAACUUCGUGCCAGCAGCCGCGGUAAUACGAAGGGGGCUAGCGUUGCUCGGAAUUACUGGGCGUAAAGGGAGCGUAGGCGGACAUUUAAGUCAGGGGUGAAAUCCCAGAGCUCAACUCUGGAACUGCCUUUGAUACUGGGUGUCUUGAGUGUGAUAGAGGUAUGUGGAACUCCGAGUGUAGAGGUGAAAUUCGUAGAUAUUCGGAAGAACACCAGUGGCGAAGGCGACAUACUGGAUCAUUACUGACGCUGAGGCUCGAAAGCGUGGGGAGCAAACAGGAUUAGAUACCCUGGUAGUCCACGCCGUAAACGAUGAUUGCUAGUUGUCGGGAUGUUUACAUCUCGGUGACGCAGCUACGCAUAGACANCCGCCGUGGGAGGUACGGUCGCAGAUAAACUACAAGAAGUAGAGNGNGAGAGNGCGACGACGACGACGAGGGAGGAGG
RNAcentral lists this ribosomal RNA (587 nucleotides) under uncultured bacterium. RNAcentral describes it as "bacterial SSU rRNA". The stretch from base 1 to 514 matches the Rfam family "Bacterial small subunit ribosomal RNA", at positions 338 to 873 of the family's 1533-position model. The record is from RNAcentral.